This 163-nucleotide ribosomal RNA is filed under the name Aeromonas salmonicida subsp. salmonicida. RNAcentral's name for it is "partial 23S ribosomal RNA". The stretch from base 1 to 141 matches the Rfam family "Bacterial large subunit ribosomal RNA", at positions 2790 to 2925 of the family's 2925-position model. The record is from RNAcentral. Lineage: Bacteria; Pseudomonadati; Pseudomonadota; Gammaproteobacteria; Aeromonadales; Aeromonadaceae.
AAGCGAGCCCUGAGAUGAGUCAUCCCUGACCCCUUGAGGGUCCUAAAGGGCCGUUGGAGACCACAACGUUGAUAGGUGGGGUGUGUAAGCGCAGUGAUGUGUUGAGCUAACCCAUACUAAUUACCCGUGAGGCUUAACCAUACAACACCCAAGAAGUGUUCUG